CAGCCACAACAGCCCGCUGGCUCGCACGGGGUGCUCUUCAUCGAGUGUCCCGCGUGGCCGGCAGAGUUUACUUUGAAAAAAUUAGAGUGCUCAAAGCAGGCUACACUGACGGCCUGAAUGCCUAUGCAUGGAAUAAUGGAAUAGGACCUCGGUUCUAUUUUGUCGGUUUUCUGAACCCGAGGUAAUGACUAAUAGGAACAGGCGGGGGCAUUCGUAUUGCGACGCUAGAGGUGAAAUUCUUGGACCGUCGCAAGACGAACUACUGCGAAAGCAUUUGCCAAGGAUGUUUUCAUUAAUCAAGAACGAAAGUUAGAGGUUCGAAGGCGAUCAGAUACCGCCCUAGUUCUAACCAUAAACGAUGCUGACCAGCGAUCCGCCGGCGUUAUUCCCAUGACCCGGCGGGCAGCUUCCGGGAAACCAAAGUCUUUGGGUUCCGGGGGAAGUAUGGUUGCAAAGCUGAAACUUAAAGGAAUUGACGGAAGGGCACCACCAGGAGUGGAGCCUGCGGCUUAAUUUGACUCAACACGGGGAACCUCACCAGGCCCAGACACCGGAAGGAUUGACAGAUUGAGAGCUCUUUCUCGAUUCGGUGGGUGGUGGUGCAUGGCCGUUCUUAGUUGGUGGAGCGAUUUGUCUGGUUAAUUCCGAUAAC
This 652-nucleotide ribosomal RNA is filed under the name Rouxana sp. 1 SAD-2004. RNAcentral's name for it is "SSU rRNA". It matches the Rfam family "Eukaryotic small subunit ribosomal RNA", at positions 685 to 1332 of the family's 1831-position model. The record is from RNAcentral. Lineage: Eukaryota; Metazoa; Arthropoda; Malacostraca; Decapoda; Gecarcinucidae. RNAcentral also lists the same sequence under 1 other name.